UCCUCGGUUGCCCCAGAAUGCCUGGGAUUUUCUUCACAAGGCUGGAGAGGGUGGGAGACCCAAACCACCUCUCCACAGGCCCUCGGCACUGAGGCUGAAACGGCUCCUGCUCUGUCCAAGUCCUCCAUCCUCAUGUUUAAGCUCAAAGGAGCCUGGGGUCCUGGGUGGGCCAGGGGAGGGGGCACAAAUCUCUCGGUCUCAGUCAGGCUAGUUUGGAGCAGACUUCCUGCUCGUAGGUCCCCUUCUCCACCUCCCCCAAACCCAGGCCACACCAAGCAAUUCAGAACCCUCUCUUUGGCUCUCCAGAAAAGCAGAUGGUUAGGAGGACAGGCUCUAGCCCUGACUCUGGGCCGUUAGCACACUCUUCAUUUUAUUCCUCCGUGAAGAGAAUAGGGCACCUUGAGACACUGUGGUUUGGAGCGGCCAGUGGGGACCUUGGAGGGUGCAGGAGGGCUUCCGGGUGGAUGCAGGAUUGGGGAGCAGCACCUCUGCCUCCCCUGGGGCCAUAGCCCUCCUCGGAGACCCACCCAGCAGCAGAGGGGCGAGAGGACUGGAGUCUGGAGCCCGAGGUCUGAGAACCUGGGGCUUCUCCUCAGCCAGCCCUGGAGGUCACUCUUCCCUCCCGAGAAGACAAGCCAAGGCCGCCGCGAUGCCGCACUUCCUGGACUGGUUCGUGCCUGUUUACCUGUUCAUCUCUGUGCUCAUCCUGGUGGGCUUCGGCGCCUGCAUCUACUACUUCGAGCCCGGCUUGCAGGAGGCGCACAAGUGGCGCAUGCAGCGCCCCCUGGUGGACCGCGACUUCCGCAAGACGCUGAUGGUCCGCGACAACCUGGCCUUCGGGGGCCCUGAGGAGGAGGUGCUCCAGGAGGACUCGGCUGUGCAGGGAUGGGGCACCUGGGUGCCUUGAGAUGUCGCUGCUGCUGAUGGCCCUAGGGCUUGCUCUCCAGGUCAAGCCUGCUUACCCCACGCCUGCCCUCCCCAGCUCCGGGGACACCAUCCUGCUCCCCCCAGUGCCUUUGUGCUGCCCGGCGCUCCUGGCCCUCCACCCAGAGCCAGGCACUCUGCCGGUCCUGAGUCUCCAGGUCUCCCACGUCCCUUCAGGGUCCUGGGUGACACUCAGCUCCCCGCUCCUGCCGAUGGUCUCGACCCUGCAGCUCCACGGGCCAGGCUUCAAGUCUGCUGAAAGGAAAGGGCCCCCUUUGGAGGGAAGUCAGCUCAGGGCAGCCCAGCUCUACUGCUCUGGGCCCAAACUUAGCGUGGAUGAGUGUGUGUGAUGGGGCGUGCCAGGGGCCAGACCAUAGAGGAAGGACGUGUGUGUAUGUGUGUGUGUGUCAUAGAGGGAGAGAAAGUUUUGGAGGAGUAAGCAGCCUUGGAGACAGCAGGGUGGGGGGGAGAAGCAUGUAUGUGUGAGAGGGAGAGGGGGGCCCCAGGCAGGGUGAGAAGUGGGGGGCGGGGUGAGUUCCGUGGGCAUUAUGGGGGCCACCAGCAGCAGUUCCCGCCCCCCUUCCUUGUCUGGACUUCCCCCUUUCUCUCCUUUCCCAAGACUGAGGCUGCUGGCAGAAGCCCUGCCUCCUCUCCUGGUCCUGUGCUGCCCCCCCCAAGCCCACCCUGGAGCCCCUUCCUUUGUGGAGCACCACCCUUCCUUUUUGGACAUCUGUUGGCCUCACUCCCCUUCUCUGGGGCUUCCACCUUAAUUUAUUGCAAUAAUAAAGACUCCAUGACUAUCUCA
Molecule: non-coding RNA, 1729 nt
Organism: Odocoileus virginianus texanus
Lineage: Eukaryota; Metazoa; Chordata; Mammalia; Artiodactyla; Cervidae
Source: RefSeq, a predicted model, not a curated record